AAGCGCUUGUGACCAGACUUGGGCCCGGUGGAUCAUCCAGCGUUCUCGCUGGUGCACUCCGCCGGGUUCAGGCCAGCAUCAGUUCGCCGCGGGGGAAAAAGGCUUCGGGAACGUGGCUCCUACGGGAGUGUUAUAGCCCGUUGCAUAAUACCCUGGGGCGGACUGAGGUUCGCGCUCCGCAAGGAUGCUGGCGUAAUGGUCAUCAGCGA
RNAcentral lists this ribosomal RNA (209 nucleotides) under Purpureocillium lilacinum. RNAcentral describes it as "partial large subunit ribosomal RNA". Lineage: Eukaryota; Fungi; Ascomycota; Sordariomycetes; Hypocreales; Ophiocordycipitaceae. The record is from RNAcentral.